Molecule: ribosomal RNA, 474 nt
Filed under: uncultured bacterium
Lineage: Bacteria
Description: partial 16S ribosomal RNA
Rfam family: Bacterial small subunit ribosomal RNA
Source: RNAcentral
GAUGAACGCUAGCGGCAGGCCUAACACAUGCAAGUCGAGGGAGGAGCUCUCGGGCUUCGACCGGCGUACGGGUGCGUAACGCGUAUACAAUCUUCCGUUCACAUAGAGAUAGCGCGAAGAAAUUUGGAUUAAUACCUAAUGUUAGAUAGGAGUGGCAUCACCUUUAUAUUAAAGCUGAGUCGGUGUAAGAUGAGUAUGCGGUCUAUUAGCUAGUUGGAGAGGUAACGUCUCUCCAAGGCGACGAUAGAUAGGGGUUCUGAGAGGGAUAUCCCCCACACGAGUACUGGGACACGGACCAGACGACUACGGGAGGCAGCAGUGAGGUAUAGUGGACAAUGGUCGGAAGACUGAUACAGCCAUGCCGAGUGCAGGAAGGCGGUGUUACGGGUUGUAAGCUGCUUUUGGAGGGGAAGAGUAAGGAGUACGUGUACUUUGAUGACGGUACUGGGAGAAUAAGCAUCGGCUAACUCCGUG